RNAcentral lists this RNase P RNA (382 nucleotides) under Mucinivorans hirudinis. RNAcentral describes it as "Bacterial RNase P class A". It matches the Rfam family "Bacterial RNase P class A". From Rfam's summary of the family: Ribonuclease P (RNase P) is a ubiquitous endoribonuclease, found in archaea, bacteria and eukarya as well as chloroplasts and mitochondria. Lineage: Bacteria; Pseudomonadati; Bacteroidota; Bacteroidia; Bacteroidales; Rikenellaceae. The record is from Rfam by way of RNAcentral.
AGGCAGGUUGGCUCUGUCGCUCAUAUCAAACUGUAUGAGAGGAAAGUCCGGGCAACAUAGAGUAUCGCACUUGUGAAACUGCAAGAUAGCCGUAAGGUUAUGCGCACCGUAGAAGAAAAUAACCGCCCAUAAGGGUAAGGGUGAGAAGGUGGUGUAAGAGACCACCGCGUCGGCAGUGAUGUUCGGCGGUCAGUGCGGGCUGCGAGUUGCAAGACCAAAUAGACCGAUGAGGGCUCUGCGCAAGCGGGGUCGAGAGGGUUACUCGCCUGAGUCGGAGGGUAGGUUGCUGAUGAGUCGUUAUAGCAAUAUGCGACCAAGAUAAAUGACAGAGAUCUUUUCCUCGGGAAAGGUACAGAACCCGGCUUAUACGAUUUGCCUUAAA